AUAAUCCUACGGGGGGCAGCAGUGGGGGAUAUUGCACAAUGGGGGAAACCCUGAUGCAGCGACGCCGCGUGGGCGAAGAAGUAUUUCGGUAUGUAAAGCCCUAUCAGCAGGGAAGAAGAAAUGACGGUACCUGACUAAGAAGCCCCGGCUAACUACGUGCCAGCAGCCGCGGUAAUACGUAGGGGGCAAGCGUUAUCCGGAUUUACUGGGUGUAAAGGGGGCGCAGACGGCAGCGCAAGCCAGGAGUGAAAGCCCGGGGCCCAACCCCGGGACUGCUCUUGGAACUGCGCGGCUGGAGUGCAGGG
This 305-nucleotide ribosomal RNA is filed under the name uncultured bacterium. RNAcentral describes it as "bacterial SSU rRNA". It matches the Rfam family "Bacterial small subunit ribosomal RNA", at positions 333 to 653 of the family's 1533-position model. The record is from RNAcentral.